Molecule: ribosomal RNA, 478 nt
Filed under: uncultured bacterium
Lineage: Bacteria
Description: partial 16S ribosomal RNA
Rfam family: Bacterial small subunit ribosomal RNA
Source: RNAcentral
GAUGAACGCUGGCGGCGUGCCUAACACAUGCAAGUCGAACGGAGUCCAGCCUUUAAGACCUUCGGGUCAAAGAGGGGAAGACUGAGUGGCGGACGGGUGAGUAACACGUGGGCAACCUGGCUCAUAGAGGGGGAUAACAGAGAGAAAUUUCUGCUAAUACCGCAUAAGCACACACUGCCGCAUGGCAGAGGGUGAAAAGAGAAUCGCUAUGAGAUGGACCCGCGUCUGAUUAGCCAGUUGGCAGGGUAAGAGCCUACCAAAGCGACGAUCAGUAGCCGAUCUGAGAGGAUGAACGGCCACAGUGGGACUGAGACACGGCCCAGACUCCUACGGGAGGCAGCAGUGGGGGAUAUUGCACAAUGGGGGGAACCCUGAUGCAGCGACGCCGCGUGAGUGAAGAAGUAUUUCGGUAUGUAAAGCUCUAUCAGCAGGGAAGAUAAUGACAGUACCUGAAUAAGAAGCCCCGGCUAACUACGUG